Molecule: long non-coding RNA, 421 nt
Filed under: Salvia miltiorrhiza (redroot sage)
Lineage: Eukaryota; Viridiplantae; Streptophyta; Magnoliopsida; Lamiales; Lamiaceae
Description: long non-coding RNA (SMIL_LNC013097)
Source: RNAcentral
GGGAGCGACGGAAUUUUCACAAAAAUUGAUGAAGAAACAAUGAGAUGAGGAAGAAAAAACAGAAGAGAGAAGAAUAGGGCAGCGAGCGGGAGGUGGGGUAGGAUUAAUUGUUUUUAUUUAUUUUUUCUAACUUUAUUUAAUUUUUUUUCUUUUAUUUUUAAUUUUUUAAAUUUAAAAUCCUAUUUUUUUUAUUCUUUUGAUUGUUUACCUAAUUUUUAAUCAUUGUAAUGUUUUUAUUUAUUAUAUUUUAUUUUAAUUAAUGCAAUGCUGAAAAUUUUAAUUUAAUGAAAUAUUUGAUUCUAAAAUUAAAGAGGUUAAUUUGUAUGAAAUAGAAAUGAAAUUUUUAGAGCUCAUUUUAAAACGCCUUAUUAUGAAUGUAGAGUGAAAGCUCUUAAGUGGGAACCACUCCCUUAGAAUCCCC